UAGGGAAUAUUGCGCAAUGGGGGAAACCCUGACGCAGCGACGCCGCGUGAGUGAUGAAGGAUUUAGGUUCGUAAAGCUCUGUUGCAUGGGAAGAAACAAAUGACGGUACCAUGCAAGCAAGGACCGGCUAACUUCGUGCCAGCAGCCGCGGUAAGACGAGGGGUCCUAGCGUUGUUCGGAAUCAUUGGGCGUAAAGCGUGUGUAGGUGGCUUUGUAAGUCAGGUGUGAAAGCCCAGGGCUUAACCCUGGAAGUGCAUUUGAUACUGCGAAGCUUGAGUACUGGAGAGGAUAGUAGAAUUCCUGGUGUAGUGGUGAAAUACGUAGAUAUCAGGAGGAAUACCGGUGGCGAAGGCGGCUAUCUGGCCAUGUACUGACACUGAGACACGAAAGCGUGGGGAUCAAACAGG
This 407-nucleotide ribosomal RNA is filed under the name uncultured bacterium. RNAcentral describes it as "bacterial SSU rRNA". It matches the Rfam family "Bacterial small subunit ribosomal RNA", at positions 355 to 776 of the family's 1533-position model. The record is from RNAcentral.